CACGUCGCUGUCGAGCUGACGGAGCACGCCGCGUGAGUGAUGAAGGUCUUCGGAUCGUAAAACUCUGUUGUUAGGGAAGAACAAAUUUGUUAGUAACUGAACAAGUCUUGACGGUACCUAACCAGAAAGCCACGGCUAACUACGUGCCAGCAGCCGCGGUAAUACGUAGGUGGCAAGCGUUAUCCGGAAUUAUUGGGCGUAAAGCGCGCGUAGGCGGUUUCUUAAGUCUGAUGUGAAAGCCCACGGCUCAACCGUGGAGGGUCAUUGGAAACUGGGAAACUUGAGUGCAGAAGAGGAGAGUGGAAUUCCAUGUGUAGCGGUGAAAUGCGCAGAGAUAUGGAGGAACACCAGUGGCGAAGGCGGCUCUCUGGUCUGUAACUGACGCUGAUGUGCGAAAGCGUGGGGAUCAAACAGGAUUAGAUACCCGGGGGUAGUCAACCUGCUGCUCCCCGGAAGG
Molecule: ribosomal RNA, 457 nt
Filed under: Mammaliicoccus sciuri
Lineage: Bacteria; Bacillati; Bacillota; Bacilli; Caryophanales; Staphylococcaceae
Description: bacterial SSU rRNA
Rfam family: Bacterial small subunit ribosomal RNA
Source: RNAcentral